CCUACGGGGGGCAGCAGUGGGGAAUAUUGCACAAUGGGCGGAAGCCUGAUCCAGCAACGCCGCGUGAGGGAAGAAGGGUUUCGGUAUGUAAACCUCUAUUAGCAGGGACGAAAGAAAUGACGGUACCUGAAUAAGAAGCCCCGGCUAACUACGUGCCAGCAGCCGCGGUAAUACGUAGGGGGCAAGCGUGAUCCGGAAUUACUGGGUGUAAAGGGUGAGUAGGCGGCAUUGUAAGCCCGAUGGGAAAGCCUGGGGCUUAACCCGAGGAUUGCAUUUGAAACUGGCAGGCUAGAGUACAGGAGAGGUAAGCGGAAUUCGUAGUGUAGCGGUGAAAUGCGUAGAUAUUAGGAGGAACACCAGUGGCGAAGGCGGCAUUCUGG
This 380-nucleotide ribosomal RNA is filed under the name uncultured bacterium. RNAcentral's name for it is "partial 16S ribosomal RNA". It matches the Rfam family "Bacterial small subunit ribosomal RNA", at positions 338 to 732 of the family's 1533-position model. The record is from RNAcentral.